Molecule: small nuclear RNA, 103 nt
Organism: Cucurbita maxima (winter squash)
Lineage: Eukaryota; Viridiplantae; Streptophyta; Magnoliopsida; Cucurbitales; Cucurbitaceae
Source: RefSeq, a predicted model, not a curated record
GUUACAAAUGAGGACAUCCAAUAAAAUUGGGACGAUAUAGAGAAGAUUAGCAUGAGUCUGCAUCAGGAUGACACAUAUAAAUCGAGAAUGGUAUCAGAGUCAA